RNAcentral lists this ribosomal RNA (478 nucleotides) under uncultured bacterium. RNAcentral describes it as "bacterial SSU rRNA". It matches the Rfam family "Bacterial small subunit ribosomal RNA", at positions 30 to 501 of the family's 1533-position model. The record is from RNAcentral.
AUUGAACGCUGGCGGCAGGCCUAACACAUGCAAGUCGAGCGGAUGAGUGGAGCUUGCUCCAUGAUUCAGCGGCGGACGGGUGAGUAAUGCCUAGGAAUCUGCCUGGUAGUGGGGGACAACGUUUCGAAAGGAACGCUAAUACCGCAUACGUCCUACGGGAGAAAGCGGGGGAUCUUCGGACCUCGCGCCAUUAGAUGAGCCUAGGUCGGAUUAGCUAGUUGGUGAGGUAAUGGCUCACCAAGGCGACGAUCCGUAACUGGUCUGAGAGGAUGAUCAGUCACACUGGAACUGAGACACGGUCCAGACUCCUACGGGAGGCAGCAGUGGGGAAUUUUGGACAAUGGACGCAAGUCUGAUCCAGCCAUUCCGCGUGCAGGAUGAAGGCCCUCGGGUUGUAAACUGCUUUUGUACGGAACGAAAAGGUUUCUAUUAAUACUAGGAGCUCAUGACGGUACCGUAAGAAUAAGCACCGGCUAAC